RNAcentral lists this ribosomal RNA (862 nucleotides) under uncultured Mycoplasma sp. RNAcentral describes it as "bacterial SSU rRNA". It matches the Rfam family "Bacterial small subunit ribosomal RNA", at positions 499 to 1386 of the family's 1533-position model. Lineage: Bacteria; Bacillati; Mycoplasmatota; Mollicutes; Mycoplasmatales; Mycoplasmataceae. The record is from RNAcentral.
AACUAUGUGCCAGCAGCUGCGGUAAUACAUAGGUCGCAAGCGUUAUUCGGAUUUAUUGGGCGUAAAGCAAGCGCAGGCGGACAGAUAAGUUUUGUGUUAAAAGCAGUUGCUCAACAAUUGUUUGCGCUGAAUACUGUCUGUCUAGAAUACGGUAGGAAGUUUUGGAAUUGAAUAUGGAGCGGUGGAAUGUGUAGAUAUAUUCAAGAACACCAGAGGCGAAGGCGAAAACUUAGGCCGUUAUUGACGCUUAGGCUUGAAAGUGUGGGGAGCAAAUGGGAUUAGAUACCCCAGUAGUCCACACCGUAAACGAUGGAUAUUAGAUGUUGGGGUUUGUGCUUCAGCGUUGUAGCUUACGUAUUAAAUAUCCCGCCUGGGUAGUACAUAUGCAAAUAUGAAACUCAAAGGAAUUGACGGGGACCUGAACAAGUGGUGGAACAUGUUGCUUAAUUCGAUAAUACACGAAAAACCUUACCAAGGUUUGACAUCCCCCGCGAAGCUAUAGAAAUAUAGUGGAGGUUAUCGGGGUGACAGGUGGUGCAUGGCUGUCGUCAGCUCGUGUCAUGAGAUGUUUGGUUAAGUCCCGCAACGAGCGCAACCCUACUCUCUAGUUAACUGUCUAGAGAGACUGAACAGUAAUGUAUAGGAAGGUUGGGAUCACGUCAAGUCAUCAUGCCCCUUAUGCCUUGGGCCGCAAACGUGUUACAAUGGCGAGUACAACGUGCUGCAAGCCAGCGAUGGCAAGCUAAUCACUAAAAGCUCGUCUCAGUCCGGAUAAAAGGCUGCAAUUCGCCUUUUUGAAGUUGGAAUCACUAGUAAUCCCGUGUCAGCUAUAUCGGGGUGAAUACGUUCCCAGGUCUUGUAC